CCGGCGAUUAGGGGCUGCUACACAUGCAAGUCGAGCGGUAAGGCCCUUUCGGGGGUACACGAGCGGCGAACGGGUGAGUAACACGUGGGUGACCUGCCCUCCACUCUGGGAUAAGCCCGGGAAACUGGGUCUAAUACCGGAUAGGACCACUGAUCGCAUGGUUGGUGGUGGAAAGUUUUUUCGGUGGGGGAUGGGCCCGCGGCCUAUCAGCUUGUUGGUGGGGUGAUGGCCUACCAAGGCGGUGACGGGUAGCCGGCCUGAGAGGGCGACCGGCCACACUGGGACUGAGACACGGCCCAGACUCCUACGGGAGGCAGCAGUGGGGAAUAUUGCGCAAUGGGCGGAAGCCUGACGCAGCGACGCCGCGUGGGGGAUGACGGCCUUCGGGUUGUAAACCUCUUUCGCCAGGGACGAAGAGCAAUUGACGGUACCUGGAGAAGAAGCACCGGCCAACUACGUGCCAGCAGCCGCGGUAACACGUAGGGUGCGAGCGUUGUCCGGAAUUAUUGGGCGUAAAGAGCUCGUAGGCGGUGUGUCGCGUCGGCCGUGAAAACUUGGGGCUUAACUCUGAGCGUGCGGUCGAUACGGGCAUCACUUGAGUUCGGCAGGGGAGACUGGAAUUCCUGGUGUAGCGGUGAAAUGCGCAGAUAUCAGGAGGAACACCGGUGGCGAAGGCGGGUCUCUGGGCCGAUACUGACGCUGAGGAGCGAAAGCGUGGGGAGCGAACAGGAUUAGAUACCCUGGUAGUCCACGCCGUAAACGUUGGGCGCUAGGUGUGGGGACCAUUCCACGGUUUCUGUGCCGCAGCUAACGCAUUAAGCGCCCCGCCUGGGGGAGUACGGCCGCAAGGCUAAAACUCAAAGGAAUUGACGGGGGGCCCGCACAAGCGGCGGAGCAUGUGGAUUAAUUCGAUGCAACGCGAAGAAACCUUACCUGGGUUUGACAUGCACCAGACAUCCCUAGAGAUAGGGCUUCCCUUGUGGUUGGUGUGCAGGUGGUGCAUGGCUGUCGUCAGCUCGUGUCGUGAGAUGUUGGGUUAAGUCCCGCAACGAGCGCAACCCUUGUUCCAUGUUGCCAGCACGUAAUGGUGGGGACUCAUGGGAGACUGCCGGGGUCAACUCGGAGGAAGGUGGGGAUGACGUCAAGUCAUCAUGCCCCUUAUGUCCAGGGCUUCACACAUGCUACAAUGGCUCAUACAGAGGGCUGCGAGACCGUGAGGUGGAGCGAAUCCCUUAAAGUGAGUCUCAGUUCGGAUCGGGGUCUGCAACUCGACCCCGUGAAGUUGGAGUCGCUAGUAAUCGCAGAUCAGCAACGCUGCGGUGAAUACGUUCCCGGGCCUUGUACACACCGCCCGUCACGUCACGAAAGUUGGUAACACCCGAAGCCGGCGGCCCAACCCUUGUGGAGGGAGCUGUCGAAGGUGGGACUGGCGAUUGGGACGAAGUCGUAACAAAGUAGCCUCACCCCAAGGAU
This 1473-nucleotide ribosomal RNA is filed under the name Pseudonocardia sp. HBUC20201. RNAcentral's name for it is "bacterial SSU rRNA". It matches the Rfam family "Bacterial small subunit ribosomal RNA". Lineage: Bacteria; Bacillati; Actinomycetota; Actinomycetes; Pseudonocardiales; Pseudonocardiaceae. The record is from RNAcentral.